RNAcentral lists this antisense RNA (75 nucleotides) under Streptomyces sp. NRRL WC-3618. Its description in RNAcentral is "ASpks TB sRNA". It matches the Rfam family "ASpks TB sRNA". Lineage: Bacteria; Bacillati; Actinomycetota; Actinomycetes; Kitasatosporales; Streptomycetaceae. The record is from Rfam by way of RNAcentral.
CUUCACCGAUCCCAGCCACAGGGGCCGGUCGACCGGUCGCUGCUCUCCGUACGUGGCGAGGAGGGCCUGCGCCUC